This 1146-nucleotide long non-coding RNA is filed under the name Aquilegia coerulea. RNAcentral describes it as "long non-coding RNA (ACOE_LNC000049)". The record is from RNAcentral. Lineage: Eukaryota; Viridiplantae; Streptophyta; Magnoliopsida; Ranunculales; Ranunculaceae.
UGUUUAAAUUGCGUGUGUAUUGCCUGAGACUAGAUAGAGUUCUAGUGGCAUAACAGGGCAGAAAAACUUGUCAGAAUUUAACCCUGUUACACUAUCCAUGGCCAACAUGCACAAGACCUUCAAAAUAUUUGCUAGUACAUUACAUGAAGCUGUAGAGAAAGAAAUGUACAAACAAUAAGCUAUGGUAUGAUUGAUGUCUCCAAAUCGAAAACCAAGUCCUUAUACUGAUAAUUUGCAUUCAUUGGAGCACCACCAAGCCAAUGCCACAUCAGUCUUCAGUACCUUAACUUCUGCCACUAGCUUAUAUACAUGUUGCUAAGCCUGCAUCAUUUCUUGACUUCCAUAUAUAAGACCCUGCAAUCGUUCGGACGACAAGAAAAUUGUUAACGUACAGACUGUCAAGUGAUGGAUCUUAUACACUACCACUAAUUUCGAGAUGUUCAAAAGAUAAUGCAUUCUGAAUAUAGAUACAUAGUCUUCCAUUGAAGGAAAAAAUAGGCACCUUUAAACAAUCAAGCUGUUUAACAGCACUGAUGUUCUGUCUCCUUCAGGCCGCCCAGUUUAACCUUGUCCCUGAAAAGAAAUCUUUCAGCACCGCGUGUAAUCCUAUACAGGUAAGAAAAUUUAAUAACUAUACAUAUAUUUCAAGAAGUAUGAACUACCUACCUUGUUUUUUGAAAUUCGAAUCAUAUGCCUAGGCAGAGGUCCCAACACCCUCUCCAUUAAAACCAGAUCAUCCAAGUUCUCAUCUAAGACUACUAACCGUAGGAGCUCCACUACUAUGACUAUACAACCAAUACUCCACUGAUCACAAGGAUAAUUCCAUCUCAGUCCUGAAACAAAUACGCAUGUUACAGAAUUUAGUCUUGGUACCAAAAAUGUUCCUCCUGAUGAGUGAUGAAGGCAUUACUGAAGAGAAUUGAAGCGUGUGACAGAAUCAAGAAGAGUAGGUCAGUCCAAGAACAAAUACAGCUCAAGAAUCUUGACAUUUCCUGUAAACCUGUAACCACAGAGAUGUUCAUCAACGUAUCUGGAUUCAAACUUCUUCUUCUUUGCUUUCCUUUCAGUGCGUCCAAAAUGGUGAUUUUGCCAUUCACGGACUAUGGCCUAAUAUGUGGGAUGUAAGCUAACCAUUACUGAUCCAAU